RNAcentral lists this ribosomal RNA (713 nucleotides) under Klebsiella pneumoniae. Its description in RNAcentral is "bacterial SSU rRNA". It matches the Rfam family "Bacterial small subunit ribosomal RNA", at positions 54 to 760 of the family's 1533-position model. Lineage: Bacteria; Pseudomonadati; Pseudomonadota; Gammaproteobacteria; Enterobacterales; Enterobacteriaceae. The record is from RNAcentral.
CAUGCAGUCGAGCGGUAGCACAGAGAGCUUGCUCUCGGGUGACGAGCGGCGGACGGGUGAGUAAUGUCUGGGAAACUGCCUGAUGGAGGGGGAUAACUACUGGAAACGGUAGCUAAUACCGCAUAACGUCGCAGACCAAAGUGGGGGACCUUCGGGCCUCAUGCCAUCAGAUGUGCCCAGAUGGGAUUAGCUAGUAGGUGGGGUAACGGCUCACCUAGGCGACGAUCCCUAGCUGGUCUGAGAGGAUGACCAGCCACACUGGAACUGAGACACGGUCCAGACUCCUACGGGAGGCAGCAGUGGGGAAUAUUGCACAAUGGGCGCAAGCCUGAUGCAGCCAUGCCGCGUGUGUGAAGAAGGCCUUCGGGUUGUAAAGCACUUUCAGCGGGGAGGAAGGCGAUAAGGUUAAUAACCUUGNCGAUUGACGUUACCCGCAGAAGAAGCACCGGCUAACUCCGUGCCAGCAGCCGCGGUAAUACGGAGGGUGCAAGCGUUAAUCGGAAUUACUGGGCGUAAAGCGCACGCAGGCGGUCUGUCAAGUCGGAUGUGAAAUCCCCGGGCUCAACCUGGGAACUGCAUUCGAAACUGGCAGGCUAGAGUCUUGUAGAGGGGGGUAGAAUUCCAGGUGUAGCGGUGAAAUGCGUAGAGAUCUGGAGGAAUACCGGUGGCGAGGGCGGCCCCCUGGACAAAGACUGACGCUGAGGUGCGAAAGC